This is a long non-coding RNA of Mauremys reevesii (Reeves's turtle), 259 nucleotides long. RefSeq lists it as uncharacterized. Lineage: Eukaryota; Metazoa; Chordata; Testudines; Geoemydidae. The record is from RefSeq and is a predicted model, not a curated record. The transcript has 3 exons.
UGCUCUCUCACUCACAUUUAAACUGGUUUACCUCCGCUGAAUUCAGUGGAGUUACUUCUGAUUGACCCCAGCGUAGGACUGCACAGAAUCAGGCCCCACGCCUGUUUCACGGGUUAACAGGUUUUCAAGACUGUCACUGGCCAGAUCCACUGAGGCAAAGCAGCAUAGCUCCCUUCAAGAUGGCCCCUUGUCAGAAAGCAUUAAUUAUACAACUUGCUAAGGAAGGGGGUAUGAUGCACAGGAAGAAAAGAGAGGUGAG